Sinocyclocheilus rhinocerous is the source of this 1304-nucleotide long non-coding RNA. RefSeq lists it as uncharacterized. The record is from RefSeq and is a predicted model, not a curated record. NCBI's taxonomy places the organism in Eukaryota, Metazoa, Chordata, Actinopteri, Cypriniformes, Cyprinidae. The transcript is spliced from 3 exons.
UGGGUGCUAUGACGAAAAUGUAUCUAUUUAGCUGACAAAACAAGUAAACUCGGCCAUAACGACUCGGGGGUUUCUAAGAACAUCCCUUCCUAGUUUCUAUAUUUGGAAAUGACUUCUAGGAAAACAGAAACUGCUCCAUAUCCAGUUCCACGAGUUUAACUUCGCUCCCUUUUAAAGCAAAAGAAAAGCAUCGGGCAGCAGCAGGACGCUCGCAUGUGAGCGAUUCUACAUAGGCUACUGCCUCCCAUUGAUGAUCAUUAAUAGACUGGAGAAUGUCGGCAAGGAAUUUAGCGCACAAUUGGCGUGUGUUGCUGAAAAUGGCAUCUCCUCCUGCACAGCCCCUGCUUACCUAGUAGCGUGACCAUGAAGCAAUGAACGAGCAGAGAGUCCUUAACAUGCACAGAGUCAGUCUGCUGCUCUAGACGCUUGCUCAUCUCACCAGCAGGAGCACGUAUAGCGUGCUCUUAAAGAAACAAGAUCUCAUUCAAAUCAGCCAGAUGUUUCUUUCAAUCCCACAGUGCUUCUUUAUUCAUUCGAGAUUCCUUUAAAUGUUCAGAAGAAGCCACUGGAGACCUUCCUGUUCCCUUUUCCAAGCAGCUACUUGUUAAAGUAUUUAAAGCUUCCAGCAACCAGAUGCACUUCAUGGCGAUAGAUAAAGAAAACCCAUGCGCCAGGAGUUAAAAAGUCAAACAAGUAAGAACAUUGUCUACAAUUUCAAGAUGCUCUUGGAGGAAGUAAACAAGCAGACAUACAGACGUGAAAAUAAGAACCCUCUUCUUUCCCCCCCUUCCAUGUGACUGCAGAGGCAUAUGACUUCCAUAACUUCAUCGCUCAUUAACCGCUGAUGGCAGGACACAAUUGAGUGAGUGUUUGUAAAACUUGCCCUAGAUAUUCAGAUCUCAGUCCUUGGCUUUGGCUGUUGGGCAGAUCUUCUCCUGUUUCAGAUAGCGUCACCCUGCCUGACAACAGACCGUGAGGAACUUCACAUGAGAGUCCCAUGUAAGGAGUGAACUAUGGGAUACAACGGCUAUGACCAUUUAAAUCCCUUAACAAGCACCACAGAAAAACAAAUGACAGAUUAGCAUGAUUUACCAUGGCAGUGUUAUUAAAUUACCUCAGACACAUGAGCCAACAAUUGAGUUAUUUAAAUGUGCAGAGACAGUGGAAUAGCUAUGUAAGCACUGUGUAGCCUAUUCUUUGUCUAUUAAUGAUUUGGUACACCAGACUUUGUAAGGUCUUGAAUAGAGCUAGUAUUGAUUAUACCAAAAAUACAUAGGAAAUAGGCCUAGGCUAUCUUUAAAAAA